GGGGAAUAUUGCACAAUGGGGGAAACCCUGAUGCAGCAACGCCGCGUGAAGGAAGAAGGUCUUCGGAUUGUAAACUUCUUUAGUCAGGGACGAAGAAAGUGACGGUACCUGAAGAAUAAGCCACGGCUAACUACGUGCCAGCAGCCGCGGUAAUACGUAGGUGGCGAGCGUUGUCCGGAAUUACUGGGUGUAAAGGGCGUGUAGGCGGGAAUGUAAGUCAGAUGUGAAAUCCCAGGGCUCAACCCUGGAGCUGCAUCUGAAACUAUGUUUCUUGAGUGUCGGAGAGGAAAGCGGAAUUCCUAGUGUAGCGGUGAAAUGCGUAGAUAUUAGGAGGAACACCAGUGGCGAAGGCGGCUUUCUGGACGAUAACUGACGCUGAGGCGCGAAAGCGUGGGGAGCAAAC
RNAcentral lists this ribosomal RNA (403 nucleotides) under uncultured bacterium. Its description in RNAcentral is "bacterial SSU rRNA". It matches the Rfam family "Bacterial small subunit ribosomal RNA", at positions 356 to 773 of the family's 1533-position model. The record is from RNAcentral.